Molecule: ribosomal RNA, 310 nt
Filed under: uncultured eukaryote
Lineage: Eukaryota
Description: partial 18S ribosomal RNA
Rfam family: Eukaryotic small subunit ribosomal RNA
Source: RNAcentral
CCCUUAGUUACCCUAGGCCGCACGCGUGUUACAAUGACUUUUUCAGCAAGUUCUCCUGGCCCGAGAGGGUGCGGGUAAUCUGAAAUCAAAGUCGUGUUAGGGAUAGAUCUUUGCAAUUAUAGAUCUUGAACGAGGAUUUUGUAGUAAGUGCGCGUCAUCACCGCGUACUGACUGCGUCCCUGCUGUUUGUACACACCGCCCGUCGCUUCUACCGAUUGAAUGUUCCGGUGAGUAAUUUGGACCCGGGGGGCUUGCUCCUCUGGGGAAGUUUCGCAAACCUAUGCAUUUAGAGGAAGAAGAAGUCGUAACA